UGGCCACCACGGGGAGGUUCAUGUGGUGGGAGACGUCGGCACGACGUGGGGAGGUCGAGACGUCCGGAUUUUCUUUUUAACUGCGGGCCAUAUGGAUUGGGGGAAGAAGGUUGGGUUGGGCAAUUUUUUCUGUAUCUUUAGCAAAUCAUUUUCCGGAUUGGGGAAUAACGGUCGGGUCAGACAUUUCUUUUUUCUUAUGGAUCUUUAGAGAAUCAUUUUCUACCACUUAUGGAUGGGAGCGUUUGGUAAUUGUUUUCUGAAUCUUUAGCAAAUCGUUUUUUGGAUUGGCGAACAAUGGUCGGGUCGGGCAGCUCAUUUUUCUGGAUCUUUAGCGAAUCGUUUUCUACCACUUAUGGAUGAGAGUGGUGUGUAAUUGUUUUUCUCGAUCUUUAGCAAAUCGUUUUUCAGACUAGGGAACAAUGGUCUGGUCGACAGCUCUUUUCUCCGGACCUUCAGAGAAUCAUUUUCUACCACUUUUGGAUGGAAGUGGUGGGUAAUUGCUUUUUCUGGAUCUUUAGCAGAUCUUUUUCCAGAUUGGGUAACAAGGGUCGGGUCGGCAAGUUUUUUUCUGGAUCUUUAGCAAAUUGUUUACUACCACUUAUGGUUGGGAGUGGUGAGUAAUUUUUCUCUGGAUCUGUAGCAAAUCAUUUUCCUGAUUGGGGAACAAUGGUUGGGUCGGACAGCUCUUUUUUUCUUGAUCUUUAGCAAAUUAUUUUCUACCACAUAUGGAUGGCAGUGGUGGGUAAUUUUUUUGCAACUUCAUGGGCAAUUUUAGGACGGACGGGCAGAAGAAAGAAUCCCUUUAUUAGUGUUCAAGAAAACAUUGUGGUAGUGAAGUAUAUUAUGGUCAUUUGUGUUGUGGUAGAGACACUUUCUUUUAUUAGGGCCAGGACAGACGGGCAUAAGCACGCACCACAGAUACAUAAACUUAUGAUUAUUUGUGUUUUGGUAGAGGCACUUUCUUUUAUUAGGGUCAUUUACAUUGUUUCUAUUUGAGGUAGUGAAGUAUAUUAUGCCAAUGAGAUAUUGUACGCAUUCCUUAUUUUUGAGACGUUUUUAAGAGGGAAAGUUAUUACUAACCAACUCCUCGGAUUAAAUUAAAAGGUGUCUAUGAAGGCCAUGUUUUUUGAUUAUUUUUCUCAAGCGGGUAUAGCCGGAUUCGAGUGGCCCAUGCACACGACAAACCAACCCUGCCCCACUCGCAAUAUAUACGGGUCCGGCCCCAUAUCAAACAUAUGGAAAAGAAUAUGUCAUGGAGAGGAUAAGGUUGGGAGAGUUUACGGUGGGUGGGCCCCAUAGGCAGUGCAUGUCUAGCGUAGGAGCAGGUCUACAUGAGGAAAAUAUUAGUCGGUUGAAUAAGGCUGUUCCAUCUUUCAGACGUUUUAAAGAUGGAAAGUGUAUGUGUUAUCAUCUGCUAAAUCUCAAAUUAAUGUGUCUAUAUGAAGGCCAUUAUCUAGUGAGUAUUUU
This 1467-nucleotide long non-coding RNA is filed under the name Triticum aestivum (bread wheat). RNAcentral's name for it is "long non-coding RNA (TAES_LNC005864)". Lineage: Eukaryota; Viridiplantae; Streptophyta; Magnoliopsida; Poales; Poaceae. The record is from RNAcentral.